This 962-nucleotide long non-coding RNA is filed under the name Triticum aestivum (bread wheat). RNAcentral's name for it is "long non-coding RNA (TAES_LNC022336)". The record is from RNAcentral. Lineage: Eukaryota; Viridiplantae; Streptophyta; Magnoliopsida; Poales; Poaceae.
UCUACCCCGCAUCUCCGUAUGCGCCGGUGCCAGCUCAGGCUCGACGGUGUUGCCCGCCUCUGACCUCGCCUUCGACACUGACGAUUUAGUAAGGAAUUUCUCUCCUCUGCUCGUACCCUCUCUAGAUCUGGUUCCUUGUGGUGACAUAGCAUCGUUCCAUGGUCGAUUCUUUGCCGGAAAUCACAAGCGUGGUCUACGCUACCUAGUUUUAGCCAUUGUGGUAUCAUACAUCACAGAUGGAUAACAGCUCAUCCCAUCACGGUCAGUGACCUUGCCGGAGGCUCAAAAUUUCACUUCACAAUUCUAGGUAUUUUAAUUCGUGCUUGCAUCUUUCAGUGUGCACUACUAUUAGUUCUGCACAUGCAAGCCUGUUGUUUCUACUUUGGUUGAUCUAAUUGGAUGUAUGGCUGAGUCCGUAUGUGUUAAUUCUGAAAGAGUGCUUGUGUGUCCUUUUUUUAUCUCAAUAGUUCGUUCUUGCUGCUAUUUGUGUGGAUGAAUCCGUACCAAUUUUAUUGUCACAUGUCGUGUAAUACUGUAGGAAUAAGUCUCACAUGUGUACAUCUGUCCUAAUAUUCCUCUUUAUUGUAUAUAUAAUCCUUAUUUUCAUCUUCCCUUACAGGUUCUGAAAUUGACAUUGCUUCAGCCAACAUGUGUGUGUUUGUUGGAUUGCAUUCUCAUCCUAGUAGCAGUUCAAUAUGUUGUGUCGAUGAACAUGCAGGUGAGGCUGCAACAUGGUUGUGAGUUACCAAAAAUUGUCUCCCUUAAUUAACUAAUAGCUGACUCAUUUCAAUGGUUGAUCCGCCUGCUGAGUUCAGCAUGAAGUUUUGGUCUGACCUUUUCAUUGCGGUGCUUGCAGAAUGGUGUCGUGGCAGCACUGCACAAUUAAUUAACUACGCUGAGAAACAUCGUAGCUCUUCUUUUCAUGACCACACGCUGUGGAGCCACCGGCCUGCUCGAGUUGC